GAUGAACGCUGGCGGCGUGCCUAAUACAUGCAAGUCGAGCGAACGGACGAGAAGCUUGCUUUUCUGAUGUUAGCGGCGGACGGGUGAGUAACACGUGGAUAACCUACCUAUAAGACUGGGAUAACUUCGGGAAACCGGAGCUAAUACCGGAUAAUAUUUUGAACCGCAUGGUUCAAAAGUGAAAGACGGUCUUGCUGUCACUUAUAGAUGGAUCCGCGCUGCAUUAGCUAGUUGGUAAGGUAACGGCUUACCAAGGCAACGAUGCAUAGCCGACCUGAGAGGGUGAUCGGCCACCCUGGAACUGAGACACGGUCCAGACUCCUACGGGAGGCAGCAGUAGGGAAUCUUCCGCAAUGGGCGAAAGCCUGACGGAGCAACGCCGCGUGAGUGAUGAAGGUCUUCGGAUCGUAAAACUCUGUUAUUAGGGAAGAACAUAUGUGUAAGUAACUGUGCCCAUCUUGACGGUACCUAAUCAGAAAGCCACGGCUAACUACGUG
Molecule: ribosomal RNA, 497 nt
Filed under: uncultured bacterium
Lineage: Bacteria
Description: partial 16S ribosomal RNA
Rfam family: Bacterial small subunit ribosomal RNA
Source: RNAcentral